GCGCCAGGCGCAGCGGAGCAACCUGCUCCCGGGUGGGACCAGAGCUGCGCAGUCAUGAUCAUCACUGAGGCCGCGGCAGAGUCCGCUGUCCCCGCGGUGCCCGGUGAUGCAGGAGCCACUGGAGCCCCGGAGCGCGAGCAGCUGGUGUGGCCCUGGAAAGAUGCCGCGAUACGGGCGCUGGUGCAGCGCAUCCACCAGUUGCAGGCUGAGCGCGCGCAGGCCUUCCGCCGGCUGGAGGAGGGACACUUGGAGGGCUUUCAGGUGGUCGAUGCGGGUGCAGGGCCUGAGAGCCGGGGCCGUAGCCUCAGGAUCCCCGCCUGCCGCAGAGGCCACCGACAGUACCUGAGCAGCGACCCGCCCUACGACUUUCCGCGCUACCGGAGCACAGUACACGAGGUGACCCAGGCCUUCGCCGCCGCCUCGCGGGAGGUGCUGGCGGUGGAGGCCGAGCUAGCCGGACCCCGAGCGCAGCCACUGCUCGCGAGCCACGUGCGCAGGCUGCAGCAGCUGGAGGAGACGCGCCUGGCCACGGUGGCCCUGCUGCAGCUGAUGGGGAUGCCAGAGCUGACUGGGCAGGACAACCUGCAGAUGCACCAGCUGAAGAUGAAGUGAGCACCGCCUCCCAGUGGGCUGACCAUGCUAGAUUUGCACAUGCACCCUUGGGCACCCACCCCCAGCCAGGGUAAUUAAAACCAUGGAAGCGAUCAGUGAGGUUCUCCAGGAUCUCAGGUUUGAUGCAGAAUCUGCCGAGUGAUGGUGGCUCCCCAGGGACAAGCCAGAGGAGAUGGGAAAUGGGGUGUACAGCGCUCUGCCCUGACUGCCAGCUGGCUGGGGUCAUGCCCCACCGGACCACUGACCUUCUUCAAGUUCGCCUCACCUCUCAUAAUAAAGAACCUAAAGAACCUUU
Lagenorhynchus albirostris (white-beaked dolphin) is the source of this 907-nucleotide RNA transcript. It is a transcript of the gene named required for excision 1-B domain containing, with no coding region annotated. The transcript is spliced from 5 exons. NCBI's taxonomy places the organism in Eukaryota, Metazoa, Chordata, Mammalia, Artiodactyla, Delphinidae. The record is from RefSeq and is a predicted model, not a curated record.